RNAcentral lists this long non-coding RNA (837 nucleotides) under Anas platyrhynchos platyrhynchos (common mallard). RNAcentral describes it as "lncRNA (ENSAPLG00000025752.1)". The record is from RNAcentral. Lineage: Eukaryota; Metazoa; Chordata; Aves; Anseriformes; Anatidae.
AUGUAUAGUUUCCUAAACAACAGCGGCCUUCUGGUACAUUUUUCGCUAUUCCCUCUUUCUUCUCCUUUGCUUUCACAUAAAACAUCCUUCCACAAAAUCGCUAUGCUACAAAACAACAUACCACCUUCUUAUUUAUCAUACUGUAUCAUUGCCUGUCCAGGAUGGGCCAAAAAUUAUCUCCACACCCUAGGACUGAGACAACUUGCCAUGUUUCUUAUCAGACAAUUAAAAUAUUCAUACCACCACAAGGCUGCCACUCCUGUCUCUUCUCCCAAUAACCAUUCCCAUCUCUAUACAGAGAAGAAGUCAAUGGCAAGACUCCACCUGGCACAGAAGGGCCACAAUUUUCUGGGCUCUAUCCUCUGUGAAACAGGAGCAAAUUUUUCACAUGACUGAUUAAGAAUGAUUGACUGGCAAUUCCUAACUUAAGGUAGUAUUACCCAUUUGUGUUACAACGAGAAGAUAAGGCUGUACCAGAUACUACUCAAGUCCAAGUGCUUGACCUGGUUCCUAUCCCACACACAGGAUGAGAAUUAUUAUAGCGAUGAUAUUCAGAGGUCCCUGACUAACUAAUAUAUAUAUAUCAGGUUGUUAUAGCUCUGUUACUUAACUCUGCUGUGUUAAAAGGAAGUUUCUAGAAGGGAUACCAUUUUAAUAUGAAAUAGACAAGAUAUUUCUAUUUAUAGGCUUUGUGAUAUCUGUGUAAAACUAUACAUCAACAGAAGUGGAGAUUGGCACAAAAGCUAGUAAGCUCCCUUUAUUAUGCCAAGUAAUUAUGGCAAUAUCAAACACGUGUAAAGCAUGAAUUUGUCCAAUUUUCUGUACUUCCUAUUUAUA